This 1118-nucleotide ribosomal RNA is filed under the name uncultured bacterium. RNAcentral's name for it is "bacterial SSU rRNA". It matches the Rfam family "Bacterial small subunit ribosomal RNA", at positions 8 to 1104 of the family's 1533-position model. The record is from RNAcentral.
AGAGUUUGAUCCUGGCUCAGCGCGAACGCUGGCGGCAUGCCUAACACAUGCAAGUCGAACGGAAAGUGGGGCAACUCACUUUCAGUGGCAAACGGGUGAGUAACGCGUGAAUAACCUGCCUUUGAGAAGGGGAUAACUGUCCGAAAGGAUAGCUAAUACCCUAUAAUGUCCUUUGUCACAAAGGCAAAGGAUGAAAGCGAGGCUGUCAAAGGCUUCGGCUCAAAGAGGGGUUCGCGUCCUAUCAGGUAGUUGGUGGGGUAAUGGCCUACCAAGCCAAUGACGGGUAGCUGGUCUUAGAGGAUGGUCAGCCACAGUGGGACUGAGACACGGCCCGCACCCCUACGGGGGGCAGCAGUGGGGAAUCGUGGGCAAUGGACGAAAGUCUGACCCCGCAAUGCCGCGUGAGGGAAGAAGCCCUUCGGGGUGUAAACCUCUGUCAGAUGGGAAGAUGGGACCAAGAGCUAAUACCUCUUGGUCUUGACGGUACCAUCAGAGGAAGGGACGGCUAACUACGUGCCAGCAGCCGCGGUAAUACGUAGGUCCCGAGCGUUGCGCGAUGUUACUGGGCGUAAAGCGUCCGUAGCUGGUUUCGUAAGCGGAUUGUCAAAACCCGAAGCUCAACUUCGGCAAGGCAUUCCGAACUGCGUUACUUGAGUCCUGUUCAGGUAGGCGGAAUUCCCGGUGUAGCGGUGAAAUGCGUAGAUAUCGGGAGGAACACCAGUGGCGAAGGCGGCCUACUGGGACGGUACUGACGGUCAUGGACGAAAGCUGGGGGAGCGAACCGGAUUAGAUACCCGGGUAGUCCCAGCCGUAAACGAUGGAUGUUAGGUGUAGUGAUAACUUCGCUGCACCCCAGCUAACGCGUUAAACAUCCCGCCUGGGGAGUACGGGCGCAAGCCUGAGACUCAAAGGAAUUGGCGGGGGCCCGCACAACCGGUGGAGCGUCUGGUUUAAUUCGAUGCUAACCGAAAAACCUUACCAGGGUUUGAAAUGGUAGGAAAGGCUGUCGAAAGACAGCCGUGUUUCCCUUUUGGGAGAAAUCCUACCACAGGUGGUGCAUGGCCGUCGUCAGCUCGCGUUGUGAGAUGUUGGGUUAAGUCCCGUAACGAGCGCAACCC